GCUGUGGCUGCACGUUGUUGGAAAAGCCUCAUACAGUAACUCUGUGGGGACUUUUUGCUUACAGGUCUAUUUCUUAGGCCUGAGAUAAGGGACUAUAAGAUGGAA
RNAcentral lists this small nucleolar RNA (105 nucleotides) under Octodon degus (degu). Lineage: Eukaryota; Metazoa; Chordata; Mammalia; Rodentia; Octodontidae. The record is from RNAcentral.